CACAUCCACAGAUCAUCGCCUCUUCAGAGAUCCCUCAUGCGGGUUACAAAACACAGUUUGUUUGGACAUUUGUUCAUACCUUCUGACUGUAACAAUUUUAACAUGCAGCAAAAGCUUCUAGCGGUCAAAUCAAUCCUCCAAACGGCGUAAGUCAUCAAGAAUUUUGAUUUGCUUCGGCUACUUCAGUUCAAAACUUCAAGUCCACAUCAGAAAACGUCGGGCACUCCAGCUCCGCCCACCCUGUCAGUGCACCGGCUCCAGCUUUUACGGGAAUAGCCGAAAUCUGACCAUCUAAAUCCUGCCACCGCUCCGAAAGGCCUCACAUCCAGCCUCAUCUCGUUAUAUCUCAUCCAGCUUCCGGGUGCCAGGUCGGCUGUCUCCGCCCACCAGCGUGACGUCGCAGCCGUGACUCCUGCGUGGCCUUCUCCCUCCAGCUGCAGCCGUUCAGCACCUCUGUAACCACAUACUGGCAGUGCCUGGAAUGAUUAACCAGUGCAAGCAGAGAUGAACCUCUGUUCAACACGGAGUCUGAGAAGGCCCCGUCCAGGCCUUGGCUUGCUCACCUCCACAUCCCACGCCAAUGCCGUGGUCUCUCACCUAAGCUAUACGACAUAUUCC
Molecule: long non-coding RNA, 618 nt
Organism: Amphiprion ocellaris (clown anemonefish)
Lineage: Eukaryota; Metazoa; Chordata; Actinopteri; Pomacentridae
Source: Ensembl